CCUGGCUCCUGCCCUUUAUGACAGGGAAAUAUAAUCUAGUCCUGGGGCUGGAUGGCAGAGUGCUAGCCUGAGGCUUGGAUUGUGCCAGUGGAGCUCAGGUCCCAGAAAGCCCUGGUUUCCCUGUGGGGCAUGGAAGAGCCCAAGUGAACUGCUGCUCCAAAGAGGGCAAGUCUGCGCUGGCGAAGCUGGAGGCUGCUGUGCCUGGUGCAGAAAAGAGGGAACAGAUGUGGAAAUUUAAAACAAGAAGUAGCUUUGCUGGAAUUUGCUUUCAACGUAGCAAAAGGAGCUCUCAGCCAGACUAAGUCCUUGGGAGACAGUGUGCCUGCACAGUAAGAAGCAGUCCCCGCUCUGAAGUGCUGUGAGUGAAACAGACACAGAUGAGAGCACCAAGAGGUGAAAUGAGUUUUUCAAGGUUAUAUAGGAGGUCAGUGGCCAAGCCAAAAUUAGAACUCGGUUCUUGUCCAGUGAUCGUGGUCAUCUAUUCCUU
Molecule: long non-coding RNA, 487 nt
Filed under: Struthio camelus australis
Lineage: Eukaryota; Metazoa; Chordata; Aves; Struthioniformes; Struthionidae
Description: lncRNA (ENSSCUG00000004950.1)
Source: RNAcentral